RNAcentral lists this ribosomal RNA (444 nucleotides) under uncultured bacterium. RNAcentral describes it as "bacterial SSU rRNA". It matches the Rfam family "Bacterial small subunit ribosomal RNA", at positions 36 to 473 of the family's 1533-position model. The record is from RNAcentral.
GGCCGCGGGAAUUCGAUUCAGGCGUAACACAUGCAAGUCGAACGGCAGCACGGACUUCGGUCUGGUGGCGAGUGGCGAACGGGUGAGUAAUACAUCGGAACGUGCCCAGUCGUGGGGGAUAGCGUAGCGAAAGCUACGCUAAUACCGCAUACGAUCUAAGGAUGAAAGCGGGGGAUCGCAAGACCUCGCGCGAUUGGAGCGGCCGAUGGCAGAUUAGGUAGUUGGUGGGGUAAAGGCUCACCAAGCCGACGAUCUGUAGCUGGUCUGAGAGGACGACCAGCCACACUGGGACUGAGACACGGCCCAGACUCCUACGGGAGGCAGCAGUGGGGAAUUUUGGACAAUGGGCGCAAGCCUGAUCCAUCAAAGCCGCGUGCAGGAUGAAGGCCCUCGGGUGUAACCUUAAGAGUACGGAACGAAAAGGCUCUGGUUAAUACCUGGGGC